This 398-nucleotide ribosomal RNA is filed under the name uncultured Rimostrombidium. RNAcentral's name for it is "partial small subunit ribosomal RNA". It matches the Rfam family "Eukaryotic small subunit ribosomal RNA", at positions 30 to 432 of the family's 1831-position model. Lineage: Eukaryota; Ciliophora; Spirotrichea; Choreotrichida; Strobilidiidae. The record is from RNAcentral.
GCUUGUCUCAAAGAUUAAGCCAUGCAUGUCUAAGUAUAAAUGGUAUACAGUGAAACUGCGAAUGGCUCAUUAAAACAGUUAUAGUUUAUUUGGUAAUCGAAUUUACAUGGAUAACCGUGGUAAUUCUAGAGCUAAUACAUGCUGUAAAGCCCGACUUUUCGGAAGGGCCGUAUUUAUUAGAUAACAGACCAAUAUUCCUCGUGUCUAUUGUGGUGAAUCAUAGUAACUAAUCGGAUCGCAUGGGCUAGUCCCGCGACAAACCAUUCAAGUUUCUGACCUAUCAGCUUCCGACGGUAGGAUAUGGGCCUACCGUGGCAAUGACGGGUAACGGAGAAUUAGGGUUCGAUUCCGGAGAGGGAGCCUGAGAAACGGCUACCACAUCUAAGGAAGGCAGCAGG